GAAAGUUAUUUUGUUUUAAACAGUGUUUCGAUGUUUUCGUUCAUGACCGUAUGUAUACAUGUAUAGGUGUUUCAGAUUAAUGCGCUCGCCGUCUUUCUAAUGAAAAUCCACUUCUUUUUCUUAAUUUCUCGACGUUUACGUUGUCUUUGCAUCAAAAUCAAUUAACCUUUAGUUCGUGCAACAUUGUUGAUCUGCGCGUUUUUCGAUGAUCCAUAGACCUAACUAUAUAUAUAACAGAUAUCUACUUAGGUUGGCCUUGACUUCGAUGGACGAGCGCAUGAUUGUUAGGCCUCGUUUUCACUGAAGCAACAACGAUCAACUUUCUGCUGUCUCUCGUCGCUACAUUCCAAUACAUUUCCAAAAAACAGCAACUUAUAGAAACAUUCUAUCCACACUGAAGCAUUAUGCGAUAACUUUUUCAAGAAACAUGGAAUAUUAAUAAAAAGUUGUUCGAAGUUGUUUCAGUGGAAACGAAGCCUCCCGCUCGCUAUUACGAACAAUCGUUGACUGAUAUUUUAAUGUCUUUUCAUUUCUUCUAUAUUUUCUCUACUAUGAGUCAUCUUUGCUUCUUAUCUGUAUGAAUUCUGUUUCAGCUUUUUGCAAGAAAUGUGUUUUUCAUUUCGUCCUUUUACUACAUUUGCCAUCGUUAUUCGAAAUACAAAAAAAAAACCGAUAGAAAGACGUGUCGAUAAACUAGAAAGAUAGUUGCAAAAUCGUUCCGACAUUCAAAUGCUUUGAAGUAGUCAAAAAAUUAUUCUAUAGCAGAUAUGUACUUGUACGUAUCUUGGAACAGGUGUACGGAAUGGCAACGUUUGUACAAUGAAUCGAAUAGGAGCGUUUGACACGAGUCGCAUCGUGUCGCGUUGACGACAAGAUAAAAAGAAACUGUUUACGAGCGAACGAGCGAAAAGGGGUGCGGCUCGCUGCAUCGGCCAUCGCGCUGCUUCUCGAUAAUUAAAUGUCAGAUAGCUAGGCGAGACAGCGAGACAUGACACGUUGUUUUCAUCGGUCGGUCGUGGCACGUUUACAUCGGUUAUAUAGUUUCCUUUUCUAAUCAUAAAGAUAUGUCCUUAGAGAGGCUUUUAUUUUACGCUUUUGGUUUAAACUUCUGAACGCACGAAUCCUAUGAAAUCGCAUAGUUGAGUCAAACGCGAGUGGUUAUCGACAUGGCGAUCAACGCGACGGAGUUCUUUCGCGAGUUUGACAUUUUCUCGUUGAAUAUUUUGUGUGAAAUUGAGAAAAUUAAGAGCAAAGGAAGUGACACAAAUUUGGACCCAGUAACACGACUUUCGUUAACGAUAAGAGCGCGUAAUUAAUGAAAGUUACAACGUUUGAUUUAAUCGAUAACGCCAACGCGAAUGAGAAGAAUGAUGCCAUCCUCUGCGGACUUUUCACAUAAAGUUGUUAAUAUUUGAGCGAAAGUUGAGUCGUUGUUCAUUGGUUGGCAGAAGCACAAGAUACAAGCGUACCAAGAUACAGUAGAUAGGAUGGAAAUCUAAUAAACAAAGCAGAAAAAAGCGAUAUAACCGUUUUCGCUAUCAACGGAAUUUCAUUGCUAAAUUAAGGAUCUCUUAAUUAGGGAAGAAUGGAAGGCAACGGAGCAUAAAGCUGUCGAGCAAGCACAAUUUCUCUGGGCGAUAUUAAAACGACGCCUAAUAUCCUGGACGGCUUGAUAUUAAGAGGAUGACGAAGGUGAAUCCCAAAGGAAAGCUGAAAUGGGGUGAAGAAAGGGAUCGUAAGCCGCUUACGGUUUCACGAUGUCACGAAACGAACGAGCCACCAACUGCUUGUCGUUUUAGCAGCACGCAUAAACCGCACUCUACGUGGCUAGGAUUUACAGACCUAGAAGGUCCCUGAAAUUAGACCAACUCGCGUAUAUGCCUUCCAUGAUGCACGGAUUAACUUGUUUUCCUACAAACAUAAAGUCCCUUCAAAUUGCCAAAGUUGGCAACUAAGUGAUUGCGGAUUUUGUCAAUAUCACCUAAUGACAAAAUCCGCAAUUACUUAGUUGCCAACCCAAUAUAUGCAUAUUACUCUGUUGCUUAAAUAAUUAUCAGUUUCACUGUAAUAUCAGUAUGGUAUAUGGUUAAUUGAAUUACAAUUCAAUUGAUCUGACUAAAACGCUAAAACGGCUUGAUUAUAUAAAAUAAAUGCGAUCUUUUUUUGCAAAACUU
Molecule: long non-coding RNA, 2174 nt
Organism: Bombus impatiens (common eastern bumble bee)
Lineage: Eukaryota; Metazoa; Arthropoda; Insecta; Hymenoptera; Apidae
Exons: 3
Source: RefSeq, a predicted model, not a curated record